GACGAACGCUGGCGGCGUGCUUAACACAUGCAAGUCGAACGGAAAGGCCUUUUCGGAGGUACUCGAGUGGCGAACGGGUGAGUAACACGUGGGUGAUCUGCCCUGCACUCUGGGAUAAGCCUGGGAAACUGGGUCUAAUACCGGAUAGGACCGCACUUUAGUGUGUGUGGUGGAAAGUUUUUUCGGUGUAGGAUGAGCCCGCGGCCUAUCAGCUUGUUGGUGGGGUAAUGGCCUACCAAGGCGGCGACGGGUAGCCGGACUGAGAGGUUGGUCGGCCACAUUGGGACUGAGAUACGGCCCAGACUCCUACGGGAGGCAGCAGUGGGGAAUAUUGCACAAUGGGCGCAAGCCUGAUGCAGCGACGCCGCGUGGGGGAUGACGGCCUUCGGGUUGCAAACUCCUUUCGCCAGGGACGAAGCGUUUUGUGACGGUACCUGGAGAAGAAGCACCGGCUAACUACGUG
Molecule: ribosomal RNA, 463 nt
Filed under: uncultured bacterium
Lineage: Bacteria
Description: partial 16S ribosomal RNA
Rfam family: Bacterial small subunit ribosomal RNA
Source: RNAcentral